AAGCGGUGGAUGAUGUGGAUUAAUUCGAUGCAACGCGAAAACCUUACUACCCUUGACAUGUCUGGAACCUUGGUGAGAGCCGAGGUGCCUUCGGGAGCCAGAACACAGGUGCUGCAUGGCUGUCGUCAGCUCGUGUCGUGAGAUGUUGGGUUAAGUCCCGCAACGAGCGCAACCCUUGUCACUAGUUGCCAUCAUUUGGUUGGGCACUCUAGUGAGACUGCCGGUGACAAACCGGAGGAAGGUGGGGAUGACGUCAAGUCCUCAUGGCCCUUAUGGGUAGGGCUUCACACGUCAUACAAUGGUCGGUACAGAGGGUUGCCAAGCCGCGAGGUGGAGCCAAUCCCACAAAGCCGGUCGUAGUCCGGAUCGCAGUCUGCAACUCGACUGCGUGAAGUCGGAAUCGCUAGUAAUCGCGGAUCAGCAUGUCGCGGUGAAUACGUUCCCGGGUCUU
RNAcentral lists this ribosomal RNA (451 nucleotides) under uncultured Thauera sp. RNAcentral's name for it is "bacterial SSU rRNA". It matches the Rfam family "Bacterial small subunit ribosomal RNA", at positions 927 to 1382 of the family's 1533-position model. The record is from RNAcentral. Lineage: Bacteria; Pseudomonadati; Pseudomonadota; Betaproteobacteria; Rhodocyclales; Zoogloeaceae.